This 407-nucleotide ribosomal RNA is filed under the name uncultured bacterium. RNAcentral's name for it is "bacterial SSU rRNA". It matches the Rfam family "Bacterial small subunit ribosomal RNA", at positions 355 to 776 of the family's 1533-position model. The record is from RNAcentral.
UUAGGAAUAUUGGGCAAUGGAGGAAACUCUGACCCAGCAACGCCGCGUGAAGGAAGAAGGUUUUCGGAUUGUAAACUUCUGAUCUAAGGGACGAAGAAAGUGACGGUACCUUAGGAGAAAGCCACGGCUAACUACGUGCCAGCAGCCGCGGUAAUACGUAGGUGGCGAGCGUUGUCCGGAAUAACUGGGCGUAAAGGGAGCGUAGGUGGUGAUUUAAGUUAGGUGUGAAAGCCCAAGGCUCAACUUUGGAAUUGCACUUAAAACUGGGUUACUAGAGUACAGGAGGGGUAAACGGAAUUUCUAGUGUAGCGGUGAAAUGCGUAGAUAUUAGGAAGAACACCGGAGGCGAAGGCGGUUUACUGGACUGCAACUGACACUGAGGCUCGAAAGCGUGGGGAGCAAACAGG